CAACUCAUGGACAGAAUGCUCAGAUGAACGGCAUUGAAAAAUCACAAAUCUGAGAAAUCGAGGGCAAAGCCAUGGACAUAGGAAUUGCUGUGUGGGCCAGAAUCCAAGGACCAAGGCAGAUUAACCUGGCCUCC
This is a long non-coding RNA of Neomonachus schauinslandi (Hawaiian monk seal), 134 nucleotides long. RefSeq lists it as uncharacterized. The transcript is spliced from 3 exons. The record is from RefSeq and is a predicted model, not a curated record. NCBI's taxonomy places the organism in Eukaryota, Metazoa, Chordata, Mammalia, Carnivora, Phocidae.